This 73-nucleotide transfer RNA is filed under the name Felis catus (domestic cat). It matches the Rfam family "tRNA". Rfam says of the family: Transfer RNA (tRNA) molecules are approximately 80 nucleotides in length. Their secondary structure includes four short double-helical elements and three loops (D, anti-codon, and T loops). The record is from Rfam by way of RNAcentral. RNAcentral also lists the same sequence under 5 other names. Lineage: Eukaryota; Metazoa; Chordata; Mammalia; Carnivora; Felidae.
GCCUGGCUGUCUCAGUUGGUAGAGUGUGUGAGUCUUGAUCUCAGGGUCAUGAGUUCAAGUCCCAUAUUGGGCA